This 972-nucleotide unclassified non-coding RNA is filed under the name Hevea brasiliensis (rubber tree). The record is from RNAcentral. Lineage: Eukaryota; Viridiplantae; Streptophyta; Magnoliopsida; Malpighiales; Euphorbiaceae.
GGCAUUUGCCAUUAUUGACAUGGUGCGAGGUGGACUUUCAACAUUGAAAAAAUUGCUGACUCAUAUGAUGUAGGCCUCUCCCAAGCCCUAAGAACUACCAAAAAUGUUACAUUUUUGCAAAAUGUGCAUGGACCCCUCCUGUCUCUUGUAGCUUAGGAGGGCCAUACUUCCAAGUUAGCAAAUUAUAUCCAGUCUUCCACCUCAGCUUUGCUUUUGCAUUGGCAUGAGUAUACUCUCAUAACCAAUACAAUACAAUUGAAAAAAUAUCAGUAACUAAUAUUAUAAGUUAGGCAAAUCAAUAAAAUUAAAGGCAUAGGAUAUACUUGAAAAGGCAUGCAAAAUAAAUAUUUUUAGACCAUCAGUGCUUUUUGAUUGGGGUAUAUGCUUUUGGUUCGAAUUCUUUGUGUUGGGGAUGCAUGAAUGAAAUGUAUAAUUUGUUUUGUUGUCCUAUGUACUGCUAUAUGAAUAUUUUGUAAUGCAAAAUAGUAGCAGAAAAUAUAUUUGUAUUGUAUUUGCUCUUCUAAGAUGAUGCCCCCAUGCAUCUUUUGUUAAACUUGUUUUGACAUAUUAAACCUUAUAUUUUGUCUUGGCUUUUGAGAGUUUAGUUUAGUUAGUUACAAGUUGACUGGUUCAGAGACUGAACAUAGCAUCCAUUGUUUGACUAAAAAAAUCCUAUGUGUUGUAGUACAUUAUUUUCAUUCUGGAAUUUUUUAAGCUUAAAUAUUGAUACUGUUGUACAUGCAUCAAUUUUAUCAUUAAGGCACAGGAGCCAAUCAAAACUUUGAUUUCAGUGUGGCUGAAUGAGUAUGGCUCUUGUGGGGUCUUGUAGAAUAAAAGUCCUUAUACAUUUGCAUGAUUGCACUUCAGUAGUUGUUUCAUGGGACAACAUUUUUUGAUGAGUUGAUCUGCUCUGUAUCUCUCAUUGUGUCAUGUUUCUUAGUGCCUUUUAUGAUAGCAUGAAUAAUUCUGUUC